CUGUGCUAAGCGGGGAGCCAGCGGUGCCCUGUACCUGCAAUCCGCUACAGCAGGGCGAAUGCCCGCUCCCGGGUUCGACUGGUCAGGCAGAAUCCGGUAAGUGGCGAUGAAGGUUGGGUCCUGCGCAAUAGAGUUCUGCAAAACGGGUCAGGCCUUGACCGGAGCAGCCCUAAGCGGAAUACUUUAUGUGCCGCGGGGGCGCCUGACUGGAGCCGGCUGCCGGCAGCUCACUUGGUUGGCCGCUCUCAAAGGCGGGCUGCACAG
This 264-nucleotide signal recognition particle RNA is filed under the name Candidatus Sumerlaeota bacterium. RNAcentral's name for it is "signal recognition particle sRNA large type". It matches the Rfam family "Bacterial large signal recognition particle RNA". From Rfam's summary of the family: The signal recognition particle (SRP) is a universally conserved ribonucleoprotein involved in the co-translational targeting of proteins to membranes. Lineage: Bacteria; Candidatus Sumerlaeota. The record is from RNAcentral.